RNAcentral lists this ribosomal RNA (443 nucleotides) under uncultured Clostridium sp. RNAcentral's name for it is "bacterial SSU rRNA". It matches the Rfam family "Bacterial small subunit ribosomal RNA", at positions 337 to 796 of the family's 1533-position model. The record is from RNAcentral. Lineage: Bacteria; Bacillati; Bacillota; Clostridia; Eubacteriales; Clostridiaceae.
CCCUACGGGGGGCUGCAGUGGGGAAUAUUGCGCAAUGGGGGAAACCCUGACGCAGCAACGCCGCGUGAAGGAUGAAGGUUUUCGGAUUGUAAACUUCUUUGAUUGGGGACGAAUAAUGACGGUACCCAAAAAACAAGCCACGGCUAACUACGUGCCAGCAGCCGCGGUAAUACGUAGGUGGCGAGCGUUGUCCGGAAUUACUGGGUGUAAAGGGCGUGUAGGCGGGGAUGUAAGUCAGAUGUGAAAUUCCGAAGCUCAACUGCGGCGCUGCAUCUGAAACUAUAUCUCUUGAGUGCUGGAGAGGAAAGCGGAAUUCCUAGUGUAGCGGUGAAAUGCGUAGAUAUUAGGAGGAACACCAGUGGCGAAGGCGGCUUUCUGGACAGUAACUGACGCUGAGGCGCGAAAGCGUGGGGAGCAAACAGGAUUAGAUACCCUAGUAGUCC